This is a long non-coding RNA of Ceratosolen solmsi marchali, 134 nucleotides long. RefSeq lists it as uncharacterized. The transcript has 2 exons. The record is from RefSeq and is a predicted model, not a curated record. Lineage: Eukaryota; Metazoa; Arthropoda; Insecta; Hymenoptera; Agaonidae.
GAUAAUAAUGUAAAUGAAACGGACGUUACCGAAAAUCUUUUAAACGCUUCUGAAAGCAAAAUAAAUAUAAGUAACUUCAUCCUUAGAUUUUGUUUGAGAUGCAAGAACACGAGUAAAUGCAUUGGCCAACAAAU